UACGGGGGGGGCAAGCGUUGUUCGGAAUUACUGGGCGUAAAGGGCUCGUAGGCGGCCAACUAAGUCAGACGUGAAAUCCCUCGGCUUAACCGGGGAACUGCGCCUGAUACUGGAUGGCUUGAGUUCGGGAGAGGGAUGCGGAAUUCCAGGUGUAGCGGUGAAAUGCGUAGAUAUCUGGAGGAACACCGGUGGCGAAGGCGGCAUCCUGGACCGAUACUGACGCUGAGGAGCGAAAGCCAGGGGAGCAAACGGG
Molecule: ribosomal RNA, 253 nt
Filed under: uncultured bacterium
Lineage: Bacteria
Description: partial 16S ribosomal RNA
Rfam family: Bacterial small subunit ribosomal RNA
Source: RNAcentral